RNAcentral lists this ribosomal RNA (491 nucleotides) under uncultured bacterium. RNAcentral's name for it is "partial 16S ribosomal RNA". It matches the Rfam family "Bacterial small subunit ribosomal RNA", at positions 28 to 507 of the family's 1533-position model. The record is from RNAcentral.
GAUGAACGCUAGCGAUAGGCUUAACACAUGCAAGUCGAGGGGUAACGUGUUGGAAGCUUGCUUCCGAUGACGACGACCGGCGGAUGGGUGCGUAACGCGUAUGCAACUUGCCUCACAGUGGAGAAUAACCCGGAGAAAUCCGGACUAAUACUCCAUACACUCUUAAGUACGCCUGUACAUGAGAGGAAAGAUUUAUCGCUGUGAGAUAGGCAUGCGUCCUAUUAGGUAGUUGGUGAGGUAACGGCCCACCAAGCCGACGAUAGGUAGGGGUGCUGAGAGGCAGAUCCCCCACAUUGGGACUGAGACACGGCCCAAACUCCUACGGGAGGCAGCAGUGAGGAAUAUUGGUCAAUGGAGGAAACUCUGAACCAGCCAAGUCGCGUGAAGGAAGAAUGUCCUAAGGAUUGUAAACUUCUUUAGCGAGCGAGUAAGGACUUCCACGUGAUGGGAGUUUGAAAGUAGCUCGAGAAUAAGUAUCGGCUAACUCCGUG